RNAcentral lists this non-coding RNA (234 nucleotides) under Bacillus sp. (in: firmicutes). Its description in RNAcentral is "Bacillus sp. T-box sequence". It matches the Rfam family "T-box leader". From Rfam's summary of the family: Uncharged tRNA acts as the effector for transcription antitermination of genes in the T-box leader family. T-boxes are found upstream of many aminoacyl-tRNA synthetase genes and some amino acid biosynthetic genes usually in Gram-positive bacteria. Lineage: Bacteria; Bacillati; Bacillota; Bacilli; Caryophanales; Bacillaceae. The record is from RNAcentral.
UUAAUGGCAAUGACAGGGACAGUAAAUUAUUCAUCAGCUUUUUCCAGAGAGCCGGGUAUGGUGGAAGCCCGGCAAAGGCAGGAAUAAUUGAAUAUCACCCUGGAGCCCCGUGCCGAAAAGCAUCUGCUGACUAAGCACAGGCGUCACAUCCACGUUACGGAUGUUUGAGCGGACAGUUUUGAACUGUCUAUCAGGGUGGUACCGCGGGAGUAUACAAACCUUCUCGUCCCUAUU